CAAUGUGAGAUACGUGUCAACUUGUCGCACGCGUGAGAUAUCCGGGCCAUACUUUAGCUGGGCGAUGCAGUAGCCCAAAAAUCAGGCUGGUCCACACUUAUCAGAUGGGUGUCAUUUGCACGUUGGGCUUAUACCAGCAUGGUUGACAAGAGUAUCACACUAGAACCUCAUUCCUGGAAGCUUCCCCAUGGAGUAUGUGGUACCCCUUUUUGGUGUAGAUCGAGAAGUGUUGUCAUGGUUGCAUUUCAAACUGUUGCAUAUAUUCCACGCGAACAAUAGCUGGUAGUUUGGCAAGGAUGGGAAAGUGGAGGGGAAGGUAAUACAAUUUUCUUGGCCAUGAAUGACAUCCAUUCUCAGGUGAAAGGUAAUAGAGAACAUGGCCCAUAGCAGUCUCCAAGUUUGAGGUAUUUCUUGUAUCAAGCUUCUAUGGUUGGGUGCACAGUCAUGGAUGAGUUGGGCAUUGGCUACAUUUGAGCAGAUAACCUUAUCCUCAUGGUUUUAGACAUGGUGAUUUGGGUGAGUAUUUUUUUUUUUUUUUUUGUACAGCAUCUUGGUGGUAUACCUAUGCAGGGAUUUUGCGAGGUCAGUUCAAGGGAUCAGGCUCCCUCUCCCCCGAUUGAUGCACAUUUUUCCUUAUCAUCAAUGAAUUACAGGUGGUGUGCUCUUCCUUAUAUUCUAUGAUGAACAUACAAGAAAAUACGCUUUGGGUUUGUCCUAUAUCCUUGGCUUUCAUCUCAUGAGGUAGCGUUCUCCAAGUCUGAGG
This is a long non-coding RNA of Magnolia sinica, 763 nucleotides long. RefSeq lists it as uncharacterized. Lineage: Eukaryota; Viridiplantae; Streptophyta; Magnoliopsida; Magnoliales; Magnoliaceae. The record is from RefSeq and is a predicted model, not a curated record. The transcript has 3 exons.